Molecule: long non-coding RNA, 1070 nt
Organism: Gallus gallus (chicken)
Lineage: Eukaryota; Metazoa; Chordata; Aves; Galliformes; Phasianidae
Source: Ensembl
CGAGCUACUAAUGGUCACAAAUCAGAAUAGUACAAUGUUUCUGCUGUUUUCUGAAGCUACAUUAGAAAGCCAGAGGUGUUUACUUGAAGUUCUGCCAUGUUAAUGUUUAUGUGCUUGCUUUAAAAUGCUGUAGUUCUUUAACUAAUCAUGCAUUGUUAACCUCUUGGAAAAGGCAGCGCUUCAGACUACGGUGUUUGCACAGCAGAUUGUAAAAUUGUGUCUCAGAGCUCCAAGGGGGCUAGAACUGUCACGAAUACUUCUAAUAAUAUUGGAAGAAAAUUAAUAGAAGCUCAAGUCCUUGAGCAGGAAUCAGAAUCACACAGCACGGCAUUAUGCAGCCUCUGAAAUUUGAGGAACUGCUGUACAACAUUUCCCAUGCUCAGUUGAGUAGCCAUGUUUUAUCCUCCAGUAAAUGUUUAUUCGGCUGAUCUUACAUUUGGGAAAACUACGACAAAACAGUGGCUGAAGAAAGCUUUACUAAAUUGUUUUCAUUUCCACCAAAAGGACUGAGGAGCACUGUGAGACUGACUGUUCUUUGUGCUGAACUCAAGAGACAGCAAACUCAAUACUGGAAUCACAGGAUCACACAGAAUCACAGAAUGGCCUGGGUUGGAAGGGACCUCAAGGAUCAUGAAUCCCCAAACCCCCUGCCAGGCAGGGCCACCAACCUCCCCAGUUACUAGACGAGGUUGUCCGGGGCCUCAUCCAACCUGGCCUUGAACACCUCCAGGGACGGGGCAUCUACAACCUCUCUGGGCAGCCCGUUCCAGCACCUCACCACUCUCCUGCUCUGGAGAAGAAACUAGGAAAGAAUCCCAGGGCUGGAACAGUCUCUAGAAGUUGGAUGGGCCAUCAUAGUGCUUCAGAAUCAACUACACUCAAUGUAAUGCCUGAAAGGAUUCCAAUGAUGGAGUUUUUGCAGCCUUCCCAAGAAAACCAUUGCAUGGCUUAGCUAUAUUUAUAAUAAGAUAACUGAUGUAAUGCCUCAUCUCAAUAUUAAUUUAAUGUUGAUUAUUCAUGUUCAGUUCACUAACUCAGUACGGUUCUUGUUCAAUUCCACAUAACUUUGC